This 222-nucleotide unclassified non-coding RNA is filed under the name uncultured Mycobacteriaceae bacterium. Its description in RNAcentral is "contains 16S-23S intergenic spacer region". It matches the Rfam family "Bacterial small subunit ribosomal RNA", at positions 976 to 1197 of the family's 1533-position model. The record is from RNAcentral. Lineage: Bacteria; Bacillati; Actinomycetota; Actinomycetes; Mycobacteriales; Mycobacteriaceae.
UGGGUUUGACAUGCACAGGACGCGGCUAGAGAUAGUCGUUCCCUUGUGGCCUGUGUGCAGGUGGUGCAUGGCUGUCGUCAGCUCGUGUCGUGAGAUGUUGGGUUAAGUCCCGCAACGAGCGCAACCCUUGUCUCAUGUUGCCAGCGCGUUAUGGCGGGGACUCGUGAGAGACUGCCGGGGUCAACUCGGAGGAAGGUGGGGAUGACGUCAGGAAUGUCGAUA